Suricata suricatta (meerkat) is the source of this 607-nucleotide long non-coding RNA. RefSeq lists it as uncharacterized. NCBI's taxonomy places the organism in Eukaryota, Metazoa, Chordata, Mammalia, Carnivora, Herpestidae. The transcript is spliced from 3 exons. The record is from RefSeq and is a predicted model, not a curated record.
CGAGUGCAGUGUGUUGAGGCUUAGGCAACACGAGGCAGAGGAAGACCAAGAGACCUCAAGGCAGUACUACUGCAUCUUCAUGUCUCAGGCCUGAUGUCUCUACGGUCUACCUGCUUGCUGAUUACUUUAUGAAUACUAGUGACAAAAGUCUGUCAUUUCUGAUGCUGUGGUGCCUCUUACCUCAGCUGGGCGCACUAACUCAGCCCCUCUGCAGCUCUUGGACCACCUGAAUCCUUAGAUCUCAUCUCCCAUUCAGCCCCCUGACCAGGUAUCCCAAAUAAUCUCAAGUAGUAAAAAGAAAGUGACCCAUAGCCUGUGGCUGUCAACUGAUAAGAUUAACCCAAGGAGAGAAGCUAACAGAUCACUGGAAGAUCAGCACACACAGCUGUACAGGAAAACGAAGUGAGAAAAUUAUUUCUCCAGAAUUUUCUAAGGAAAGCGACUCCAUGAAUCUAAAUCUAAAAAUCUAAAUCAAGAGAAAACAAAUGUAGUAUUUUCACAUGAAAAAAUUGUGGAAUAAUAAACCAGUUACAUGACUUAACUGGGUCAACUAAUUGUUUCUGAAAAUCAAACAAUUAUGUAGUUAAAGUGGUUGGCCAAUUUCAUA